RNAcentral lists this ribosomal RNA (463 nucleotides) under uncultured bacterium. Its description in RNAcentral is "partial 16S ribosomal RNA". It matches the Rfam family "Bacterial small subunit ribosomal RNA", at positions 28 to 507 of the family's 1533-position model. The record is from RNAcentral.
GACGAACGCUGGCGGCGUGCUUAACACAUGCAAGUCGAACGGAAAGGCCUUUUCGGAGGUACUCGAGUGGCGAACGGGUGAGUAACACGUGGGUGAUCUGCCCUGCACUCUGGGAUAAGCCUGGGAAACUGGGUCUAAUACCGGAUAGGACCGCACUUUAGUGUGUGUGGUGGCAAGUUUUUUCGGUGUAGGAUGAGCCCGCGGCCUAUCAGCUUGUUGGUGGGGUAAUGGCCUACCAAGGCGGCGACGGGUAGCCGGACUGAGAGGUUGGUCGGCCACAUUGGGACUGAGAUACGGCCCAGACGCCUACGGGAGGCAGCAGUGGGGAAUAGUGCACAAUGGGCGCAAGCCUGAUGCAGCGACGCCGCGUGGGGGAUGACGGCCUUCGGGUUGUAAACUCCUUUCGCCAGGGACGAAGCGUUUUGUGACGGUACCUGGAGAAGAAGCACCGGCUAACUACGUG